Molecule: ribosomal RNA, 440 nt
Filed under: uncultured bacterium
Lineage: Bacteria
Description: partial 16S ribosomal RNA
Rfam family: Bacterial small subunit ribosomal RNA
Source: RNAcentral
CCUACGGGAGGCAGCAGUGAGGGAUAUUGCGCAAUGGGCGAAAGCCUGACGCAGCGACGCCGCGUGGGCGAGGAAGGCCUUCGGGUUGUAAAGCCCUUUUGGCAGGGAAGAGCAAGGACUGUACCUGCAGAACAAGUCACGGCUAACUACGUGCCAGCAGCCGCGGUAAGACAGAGGUGGCAAGCGUUGUUCGGAUUUACUGGGCUUAAAGGGCGUGUAGGCGUUCUGAUAAGUUAGAUGUGGAAUCCCCGAGCUUAACUCGGGAAUUGCAUCUAAAACUGUCAGGAUUGAGUCAUACAUGGGAGGGCGAAAUUCCUGGUGUAGGGGUAAAAUGCGUAGAUAUCAGGAGGAGGGCCGGUGGCGAAGGCGGCCCUCUGGGUAAUGACUGACGCUGAGGCGCGAAAGCGUGGGGAGCAAACAGGAUUAGAUCCCCCUGUAGU